Molecule: long non-coding RNA, 30869 nt
Filed under: Triticum aestivum (bread wheat)
Lineage: Eukaryota; Viridiplantae; Streptophyta; Magnoliopsida; Poales; Poaceae
Description: long non-coding RNA (TAES_LNC004750)
Source: RNAcentral
AUGAAGGAGUUCAUUACCGACCUAGGGGUGAUUCCCAAUGCGUCGAGCCCAAUGACUCUCUUAUGUGACAACACUGGAGCUAUUGCCCUUGCGAAGGAGCCCAGGUUUCACAGGAAGACCAGGCAUAUCAAGCGUCGCUUCAACUCCAUUCGUGAAAGUGUUCAAAAUGGAGACAUAGAUAUUUGUAAAGUACACACGGACCUGAAUGUAGCAGAUCCGUUGACUAAACCUCUCCCUAGGGCAAAACAUGAUCAACACCAGGACGCAAUGGGUGUUCGAUUCAUCACAAUGUAACUAGAUUAUUGACUCUAGUGCAAGUGGGAGACUAUUGGAAAUAUGCCCUAGAGGCAAUAAUAAAUGGUUAUUAUUAUAUUUCUUUGUUCAUGGUAAUUGUCUAUUAUUCAUGCUAUAAUUGUAUUGUCCGGAAAUCGUAAUACAUGUGUGAAUACAUAGACCACAACGUGUCCCUAGUAAGCCUCUAGUUGACUAGCUCGUUGAUCAACAGAUAGUCAUGGUUUCCUGACCAUGGACAUUGGAUGUCGUUGAUAACGGGAUCAGAUCAUUAGGAGAAUGAUGUGAUGGACAAGACCCAAUCCUAAGCAUAGCAUAAAAGAUCGUGUAGUUUCGUUUGCUAGAGCUUUUCCAAUGUCAAGUAUCUUUUCCUUAGACCAUGAGAUCGUGCAACUCCCGGAUAUCGUAGGAGUGCUUUGGGUGUGCCAAACGUCACAACGUAACUGGGUGACUAUAAAGGUGCACUACGGGUAUCUCCGAAAGUGUCUGUUGGGUUGGCACGGAUCGAGACUGGGAUUUGUCACUCCGUGUGACGGAGAGGUAUCUCUGGGCCCACUCGGUAAUGCAUCAUCAUAAUGAGCUCAAUGUGACUAAGGCGUUAGUCACGGGAUCAUGCAUUGCGGUACGAGUAAAGAGACUUGCCGGUAACGAGAUUGAACAAGGUAUUGGGAUACCGACGAUCGAAUCUCGGGCAAGUAAAAUACCGAUUGACAAAGGGAAUUGCAUACGGAUUGAUUGAAUCCUCGACACCGUGGUUCACCCGAUGAUAUCAUCGUGGAACAUGUGGGAGCCAACAUGGGUAUCCAGAUCCCGCUGUUGGUUAUUGACCGGAGAGGCGUCUCGGUCAUGUCUGCAUGUCUCCCGAACCCGUAGGGUCUACACACUUAAGGUCCGGUGACGCUAGGGUUGUAGAGAUAUAUGUAUGCGGAAACCCGAAAGUUGUUCGGAGUCCCGGAUGAGAUCCCGGACGUCACGAGAGGUUCCGGAAUGGUCCGGAGGUGAAGAAUUAUAUAUAGGAAGUCCAGUUUUGGCCACCGGGAAAGUUUCGGGGGUUAUCGGUAUUGUACCGGGACCACCGGAAGGGUCCCGGGGGUCCACCGGGUGGGGCCACCUGUCCCGGAGGGCCCCGUGGGCUGAAAGUGGAGGGGAACCAGCCCCUAAUGGGCUGGGGCGCCACUUUGGGCCUCCCCCCCAUGCGCCUAGGGUUGGGAACCCUAGGGGCGGAGUUUCCCCUUGCCUUGGGGGGCAAGGCAACCCCUUUCCCCUUGGCCGCCGCCCCCCCUUGGAGAUCCCAUCUCCAAGGGCUGCGCACCCCCCCUUGGGGGCCUAUAUAAAGGGGGGGGAGGGAGGGCAGCACACUACAGCCUUUGGCGCCUCCCUCCUCCCCUGCAACACCUCUCUCUCGCGCGCAGAAGCUCGGCGAAGCCUUGCCGGAGAGCCGCUACAUCCACCACCACGCCGUCGUGCUGUUGGAUCUCCAUCAACCUCUCCUCCCCCCUUGCUGGAUCAAGAAAGGAGGAGACGUCGCUGCACCGUACGUGUGUUGAACGCGGAGGUGCCGUCCGUUCGGCACUCGGUCAUCGGUGAUUUGGAUCACGGCGAGUACGACUCCGUCAUCCACGUUCAUUGGAACGCUUCCGCUCGCGAUCUACAAGGGUAUGUAGAUCCACUCCUUUCCCCUCGUUGCUAGUAGACUCCAUAGAUGCAUCUUGGUGAGCGUAGGAAAAUUUUAAAUUAUGCUACGAUUCCCAACAAGUAUGGCACACACCACCAGCACGACUUCCAUCUGACACCAUAUUUCUUGGAGUCCGUGCUACAGCAAUCUCUUCAACCUAGUCGUUUCUCUAACUCAGCCAUCGCGCGGUGGGCGAGGUGGGGGUUUGCCGAUAGUCGGUUUCCUCAACUGCGGUCCCACUUGUAAGGCCAACUCCAACGCACGACCCCAAACGGACCUCUGUUUUGCCCGGAUUCUGUCUGUUUGGGUAGGGCAAUGGGGUCGUGUCCGGGCCAUUUCUCGGAUGCGGUGGUCGUGCGCCGAACGCGUGACCGCAUCCCGGCCGCGUACAUUUUUGUUUGCAAACACAUAUCUUUUUUUCAUCAUUGAUUUUUUAGUACAUGGAAAUACAUCACCAAAAUUUUGACUAGAAAAGCAAGACCAAAGAACACAAGAACCACAAGAAUACAUUUUAGAAGAUAUCCAACUUCCAUAACUGCUCCUGUAAGUUGGAUUAGUGCCUUCUCGAUGCAUUCAUUGUUGAUCUGUGGAGGCUCGAUCUUGCGUGCUUCUUUCUUCUUCGAGUGUAAAGAAUUAGACGUGUCUAGCCUCUAUUCUAUCAACAAGUGCACUAGUCUCAUCUCUAGCCUCUAUGCUAGCUAAAAGUGCUAGAACAUCUACUAAAUUGUGCUCUAUCAAUAUAUCAUUGUACUCUUCUUCCCAAUACCAAAACGUGCAUCCAUUCUACACAAUAAAAUUUUAAGUUAGCACAACUAGUCUAAUCCGAGAGCACAACCGAAGAUUUGGUCGAGUUCUUCCUCCUUUUGCCGACACGUGGGACAUCCAGCAUCCAGGACGUGUCAUGCAAGAAAAUAGAGUGGUAGGUGAAGCCACGUGAUGUGCAUCUUGGGUUAAACUGUAAAUAGAAUCUUACUACUCUUGAGUAACUCCAAAAGUGGCCACCGAAGAUCUUUAUUGGAUUUGUUUUUCAUCACCAGCACGUCGAGGUGAAAGAUGUGCAGGUUCAGUGGGUCCUCUUGCGUUUUCACUGACAUGUGGGACCGUAUAUGAGCAAACAGACGAUGGGCUCCGCGCGUCUGCUGGCUGGCUGAGAAGAGAGAUAGAGGAGGGCCGAGCAUGGACUCCAGGAAAUUUGUUCUACGUACUCGAUAUAGUGGAGUAACCAGCACCUCGAUAUAGUGGGGUGGCAUGGGCCAUAACUAGCAUUCAUGUCUAGCAGUACGGCACAUGCCACCCACACGAGUCCCAUCCGACACCAAUUUUCUUGGAGUCCGUGCUAGCUACAGCCAUCUCUUCUCCCUCCUGUUUUCUCAGCCAUCGCGCGGUGGGCGGGGUGGGGGUUUGCCGAUAGUCGGUUUGCUCAACUGCGGUCCCACUUGUAAGUGAAAAUGCAACACAGCACGCAUUCCCCCUUGAGCGGCGUGCCGGACAAACCGUGUGGGGGUGCGACGCGAACACGGCAGGCUUUUCCUUUUGAACUUGUAACUUGUAAAUUUUGGUUCUGCUCCAUGGGGCGACCGAUAGAUAGAAAUAACGAUUUUCCCUAGAGUAAUGAGAAGUUUGGUUCUGGCACGGUUCAUGCAUGGAGUACGUAGGAAAAUUAUGAAGUUGAUGCGAAAGGUAAGAUAAUUACUAGUAGUACCAUAUACUACUACAUGGAUUUGACGGAAAGAUAAAGAUACAUACGGAUCCAUCAAUGACAUCCUCACGCCCUAGUGCACCGGGUCACCAACCGACGUGUGAGGAGCAGCGGCGUUGGCGGCAAGCUCAACGUGCUUCUAAACAAUGCCAUCCAAGGUUGCCAUGCGGUCCAAGAAGGCCAGCGUCCUAUCGUCCUCCUCUUGCAUGUAGUAGUCCUUGUGGACGAUUUGCGCGUAGACGUGGGUGAUUAUGUCGAUGGUGUCUUGCUGCGCCAGGCGCUGCGCGGCGAGCGCGACCUCGAGGUGGACAUUCUCCGGCGCAACGGCGGGCAGUCACAGGGCCACUAGUGCGUCGAAGAGGUUGUCACCAUAGAGGCUGUUGAGGGUGGCAGGCAUCACAGAGCCUGGGCGCGUGGGCUGGAGGCGUAUGUCAAGGUCGUCCGCGAGCUUCUUGACGACGGUGAACUUGUCGAGGAAGUCGACGAGGACCUCGUCGAACAAGGAGACGAAGCUGUCGUCCAAGCGGCCCCUCGCCCUGGCGGCCUCAAGCACUACCUGGAGACAUUCCUCGGUGCCAGGAUGCAGGCCGGCGUCGUGGACCAUUUGGCACAGCCGGCUGAUGCUCGCGCUCAUCGCCUCCAUGGGUCUAGCUUCUAGUCAACUGAUCUUGCGAUUGGAGUGAUCACUCUUGCCCUUAGGUGCGUAGGUGCGUAGGAUUUCGUAGAUUGGACUGUCGGGAGCCUUUAUAUGAGAAGUGCAAACUGCGUUGAAUUCACGUGCGUGUUGGCCAUCUACUCCUCGCCCCUCUACUGCACCUGCCUUUGGCUAUAUGAUAGGUUGGCCAGCCACCCGUUGGACCCACGUGUCAUACACCCAAAGGCAGGUGCAGUAAGUCAAUGAAGCUGCGUCCCCCUCCGUGCCCGUGCAUGCUUUCAAUUACUUGAGACUACCAAACAUCACAUGCGGUGGUUAGUUCAUUGCAUGUAAUCCUAUUAAGUAGCAAAAAGACAUUAAGUUACCCCGCCGAUAGGAAUAAAACAAUACACCAUGUAUUUAUUUACAGAGGGAGUAUAGCCAGCAUCUAGUUAGUAUAUGAAGUUGCCACAUCACAUAGAGCCAACCUAAUAUUGGAGUAUGCUAGCCCUCCACCGGCGCGCCGCUUCAAAUGGCGGAGGAAGUGAGAGGUCGCGUCACCUUGUGUCCAGAUCUGAGAUGCCACGUGUACCAGAUGAAUGACUCCAAGUUCGACCACCGUGAUGCUAGGUGCGAGCCAAGGAACACUGUUGGAGAGACCCCCCUCAUAAUUUUCCUACAUUGUCGACGACGAGGUGCCUAUGGUGACUUCGUAAAUUUCAAGAUGAUAGUGCCGUGUGUGUGUGCGUUCAUAGGGGUGAGUGUAUGCGCGUGUAUAUGAGCGCUUGCGUCUGUACUAUGUAAAAAACGUAAAUCCGUGUCAAAAAGAGACUAGUCAGUAUACUCAAUAUUGUGCACCUCGGAGAGGAAAACGAUAGAACUAGUACGUAUUUAUUUACGGUGCAGAUUCACUCAUUUUGCUCCAUAUGUACUCCGUCUCGGUGUAGUCUAGUCACUUGUUGAAAUCUCUAGAAGGGCAAAUACUCCUUUCUGGUAUACAGGGCUAUACUAGCAAGUAGUUGUACGUACUAGUACAAUAGUGGGCUCACAUAGCAAUUUUGUCUCAUGCAAGAGCCUGGCUAUAUGCGUGCUCCAAUGUUCGCAACUGCAACGUUCGGUUUGCGCUUGGCUCUUCGCCUCUUCGAGAAGACGAACAAUGAUGUUACUACUACUGCUUCUACAGUGUCGAAUCCACUGCUGCAUGUCCGUCCACCGCGAGCGGGACGGAUAGCUUGUUGUAGAAGUACUACUAAGCAAAAGUCUGUCCUCGUUUGUGAGCAACCGCGCGCAUGGGUGAGGGAGAAGGCGUGUAGUAAAAUCAAGCUUCUCCUCGUUGUACGAGUUGACGCGACACAUCAUAGCACUGGCCCCACAUGCUUGCCUCUAAACUUGGCUGAAAGACCCGCAGUGUACAAUAUAUUUGUUGCAACCUCUAAUAUUUACCCACCACAAAUUAAAAUAUAUGUGGCCGUAUGCAUCGUUCUGAUGCAGAGGCCGGGGAGGCCCCCCUUUUCGAAAAAAAACAAAUUAAAAUAUAUAUUCCUGUUUUGACCAGAUGAGCGUGCAAACUACAAUCACCAGGGUGUCAGGUAGGGCCAGAAGACUAUUUUAAUUAUUUUUAAAAAAACUUCGAGACGGCCACAUAGCAUGGAGCCGACCCCAACGAUUUUAAGCUUACAGGCACGAUACACGCUAUCCUAGACUACUCUACACAUGAAACUGCCACACGAGCGUCCGGGCUGCGCUUGGCUCUUCGCCUCUUCGGGAAGUCGAACAAUGAUGGAGUACUACUGCAUUGGAGGAGCACUACAGUAUGCUUCUGGCCAUCUGACACCGAUUGAACUGUUGCAUGUCCACCGUGUGCGGGAGGGAGAGCGUGUAGCGAAAGCUUCUCCUAGUCUUGCCAGCCACCACGCUCAUGGGCGAGGGAGGGACGCUCCUGCCUUUGCGUGUAUGACAGGUGGGCCCGACAGGUGUGUGGCCAACCUGUCAUACAGCCAAAGGCAGGUGCAGUUAAGUCCGCGAGGGAGAGGAUAAUCAAACUUCUCGUUGAUGUACGAGUUGACGCGACACAUCAAAGCACUGCACUCAAUAUAUUUCAAUAAUUUGCGUUUACCAAUGCAUUAAUUACAAUGCAUGCAUGCAUGCCAUGACUCUCCUUUUGAUACUUGCAUGUGUUGAUUUAAUGCACCUUGAAGUAGUAUAAAAUAUGUGACGGUAAAGCUUUGUAAUACCCCGGCCCAAGUCGAGAGAUGGUUGUGCACGAGGAGGGCGAGAUCAUGCAGACCGAACAGGACCCGACGAUGGAGCUCUCUAAGGUCUCGAUGGACCUCACCAUGCUCCACUGCCCCUUGUGCCUCCGCCCCUUGAAUUGUGGUUUCUCAACGAGUUGUGCUGAACUUCUUGUGAAUUGUGGUGGUUUUCAGUAAUGAAAAUCGGAAGGGGCAAGCCCUUCUUUGAUCAAAAAAAAAUUUAAUCGUCCUUAUAUAUUCAUCAGUCUUGCUAUAAGUCGCAGUAGAUGCUAUAUAGGUCCGUCGGAUCUUACAUCAAGAUCCGUGCUUUCAGAUUUUCUUUUUUCUCUCUUAAAUCUCAGUUGAGUGAGACAUAGCCACACCAUUAAACAGAGGCUCGGGCACCAUUAAUGGAGACCUUGGGAGAGAGGUGGACGGCAGAUGGAGGUCAAAGGGCUCUCCUCCCGAUAAGCACGCGUAGGGGUCUGAUCGCACGCCUCUCGUACUCAAAUAGCUACCCUGCACGGCGCCUCCUAGCUAAUAAAAAAUGGGGACGCGUGGCGGCACGUAAAUGGUACUAGUAAGUAGAACGCCCACGGUUUCAAUAAUACUUGUGUUUCCGAUUGUAACGUGACAGCACUUGUUCCAAAAUGACUUUGUUGAUUGUUAAUGUGUGCGCCUUCGCAAAUCGGACUGCAAAUUUACCACAGCAUGUUGGUGCCAUGUCAUGGCACCAAGCCAAGUUUCAUUAUUUUCAUGCGUGUUUUGGAUUUACAGGAAUUAAAAAACUAAGUUUCUCAAUGUUUCCAACCCAGCCACGAUGCCCAGAAUUUUGAAUUUCAUUCCCAUUUCUUGCAUAGAACCUAGAAAUUUACCCGAGGACACACAGGUGAUUUUUCAACCAACUUUGGUGCACUGGAACAUGUGCUUGUAUUUCAAAUUUGAAUUAUGCACACAAAGGUGACACGUUCCCUCCCAGAACCACGAGCCUUCUUGAGAGAAGCUCCGAUUUGCAAGAAGCUUAUACCAAAAUUUGUUCCUAUUCGGCCAAUUUUUUUACCACGGCAUGGUACUACCAUGACAUGACACCAUGCCAAGUUUCAUGAUUUUAAAACCAACUUUCUCAAUGUUCUCGACCGAGCCACGAUGCCCAGAUGUUUGAAUUUUAUUCUCAUUUUUUGCAUGGGACCUACUCCCUCCUUCCAUCUAUAUAGGGCCUAAUGUGUUUUUCAAGACAGCCUUUGACUAUUAACAAGAUUAAUAGCACAUGAGAUGUAUACUAUGAAAAUUAUAUUAUUGGAAGCUCCUUUGACAUACAAAUUUGAAGGUAUGCUUUGUGUAAGUUGCAUCUCAUAUAUUAUUGCUCUAACGUUUGGUCAAAGUUAGCCUCAAAAAACGCAUUAGGACCUAUAUAGAUGGAAGGAGGGAGUAGAAAUUCACCCGAGGACACAAAUGUGAUUUUUCAACCAACUUUGGUGCACGGGAGCAUGUGCUUGUAGUUCAAAUUUGAAUUAUGCACAUUAAAUGACCAAAAACUCAAUUAAUGUGUAAAUAAGGCCAAACGAAGCCGGAAUAAUUCCAAAAUUUAACAGGGCACUCAUGUAGUUCUAUGUUGCCUUUGUAAAUAAACUCAAGGGGGACAACGUAUAUCGUUUCGCACUCAAAGGUGGCACGUUCCCUCUCAGAACCACGAGCCUUCUUGAGAGAAGCUUCGGUUUGCAAGAAGCUUAUACCAAAAUCUGUUCCUAUUCGGCCAAUUUUUUUACCACAACAUGGUAGUACCAUGACAUGACAUCCAUGCCAAGUUUCAUGAUUUUCAGACGUGUUUUGGAUUUACAAGAAUUUUAAAACCAAGUUUCUCAAUGUUCUCGGCUGAGCCACGAUGCCCAGAUGUUUUAAUUUUAUUCUCAUUUCUUGCAUGGGACCUAGAAAUUCACCCGAGGACACAAAUGUGAUUUUUCAACCAACUUUGGUGCACGAGAGCAUGUGCUUGUAGUUCAAAUUUGACUUAUGCACAUUAAAUGACCAGAAACUCAAUUAAUGUAUAAAAAACGACAAACGAACCCGGAAUAAUUCCAAAAUUUAAUAGGGCACUAAUGUAGUUCUAUGUUGCCUUUGUUAAGAAACUCAAGGGGGGGCAGCGUAUAUCGUUUCACACUCAAAGGUGGCACGUUCCCUCUUAGAACCACGAGCUUCCAAAUCGGCCCAAUUUUUUACCACAACAUGUUAGUGCCAUGACAUGACACCAUGCCAAGUUUCAUGAUUUCCAGGCGAGUUUUGGAUUUACAUGAAUUUAAAAUCAAAGUUUCUCGAUGUUCUCGGCCGAGUCAUGAUGCCCAGAUGUUUGAAUUUCAUUCUCAUUUCUUCCAUGGGACCUAGAAAUUCAACCAAGGACACACAUGUGAUUUUUCAACCCACUUUGGUGCACCGGAGCAUGUGCAUGCAAUUCAUAUUUAGAUUAUGCACAUUAAAAGUCCAGAAACUCAAUUAAUAUUUUAGUCAUUUUUUGUGUUCUAAAAUGCCUGCCGGCUCGCGGAAGGACGUGUUGCCGGCACACGCGCGGAUUCAAUGAAGGCAGGCGGGGCAGUCUUAAGCUGGUUACACGCGGCGAGGAGGCGUGCUCAGCCGGGCCUGCAGCGAGUGCGGCCCUCUUGGCCGGCGCGCCGGUUCAAUGCCUGCGCUAUGAGAGGUCGCGUCCGUGUCAGAGCAAUCACUCCCUCCGGUCCUUUUUUGUUUGGGUAUAACAAAAUCUCAUUUUCCAUUCACAUUUUACAAGUAAAAUUCGUGGACAAACUUUGACCCAAAGUACGAUGGGGACUAGUAAACCAGAAUGGAGGUAGUAGUUUUUUUAAUCAAAGAAGGGUUUCCCCUUCCGAUUUUCAUUACUGAAAACCAGCAUCUAAAUCUAAACCAUAGUAUUUGCCCUAGAACUACCAGGUUCAACAUCUCGCAACAUAAACCCAUACAACCUCCAUCGCAAAAAAACCAUACAACCAUACGCCAAGGAGGUACGUAGUACUAUGAAUUCCAUUUGCGCUCAUACCAAUCGUUCUAAAAACUACUUACUACUUAUAACGCGCCAUUGAAAAUCGGAACUCUUAACCCCGCUAAAAAAUGAUAUUUUAAAUGUGGCUACUCGAUCUGUGGCAACUGGCGAGCCACCGCGCUCCAAGUCGUUCACCUGUGGUCCCGAGUCCCGACCAUCAACUCCUACGGAUCAAAUUAUCACGCGAGCUGACUAUUCCUACAAAGGUGCUCCACCACGUACCCGGUACCCGCGAAUGCAGCAAUUGUGCACCUAGGGUUUUAGGGUUUAUUUGUUAACGUCGCCUUUACGUAACACUCAUGUGUGCGAGACAGCGAGAGGCCGACUGCGUGCGUGCGCCUCUUCUCUUUGUAUAUGUACUCCACCGUUUGCCUGGUGUCCAAACAAUUAUAAUAACUACUAGCAAUGUGCCAAUGCGUUCCCACACGAUCAAAGUAGAUUAAUACAUAUUCACCGAUUUGAUAGGAAAAAAAGUCUAGUUUUGAAAUACGUAUAUCACUAAAAAUAUGUUAUGUUUCACUCAAAAUAUAUUCCUUUGGCGGUUUUGAUGAGAUAAGGGAGGAAUGUUGUUGGUUUCAAGAUUUGAGAAGUGGUAUAUGUCUAAUUUCUACUCUUACUAGCAAGAUGCCCGUGCGUUGCACGGAACAUCAAGAUCUUGUGGGAGAAAAGGAUGAACGAGGGAAGGCCUUAUCUGCAAAUGUGGUGAAGAGUGCGGGUAAAUUGCCAUAUUUUCCUUCCUAUCCGUCAGAUAUAAAUCGGACGACCUACAUUGCAGGAUGGCAGGCCCACCAUCAUCACCAACUCUAUUUUUUAUCCCUACUCUUAUAAAAAGCAUUGUCGGUGAUGAUCGUGUGCCUGCCAUCCUGCAAUAUAGGCCGUCCGAUCUAUAUCUGACGGAUAGGAAGGAAACUAUGGCAAUUUUGCAAAAAUAUACCCACACCCCUCUCCACAUUUGCAAAUAAGGCCUUCCCUCGUUCAUCCUUUUCCCCCACGAGAUAAACUACUCAUACAAAUGCAUCUUGAUGUUCCGUGCAACGCAUGGGCAUCUUGCUAGUUGUUGCAAAAAGCCCAUGUGUGUGUGAGAGAGAGGGAGAGUGGAGGAGGACGGAGUGCAUGUGUGACAAAGACAUAAGGAGUGUGUGUGCGAUAGGUAUCAGCUUAAAAUGAGGCGAUAGUGUGUGUGUGUGUGCACGAUCGAGAGGGCGUGUCUCAAGAAGGGAAGAAAAAUCUACAUAGAUACAAGGAGCGGGAGAGAGACAUGUAUGCGAUGGUGGAAGCACGAGUGUGCGGGUGUAUAGACCUAUCUAGAGGCUAGCUAGUCGAUAAAUGUUUGUGAGAGAAAUACGAGUCGGGGUGCGAAAGCGAGAGUUUUGUGUGUGUGAGAGAGAGACGGUAGUCGGGAAGGGGAGUGGAAGCAGGAGUUGUGUGUGUGUCUGUGAGAGAGAGAGAGAGAGGAGAUAGUAGUCGGGGUUGUCUGAUCGGUAAACAAAUGAAUAAUGUCAGUCUGGGAUGGAGACGAAAAGGAGACCGCAACAAAUGUUGUGUCUACAGGAGAGAGAGAGUAAUUUUAGUGGUAUGAGUCAUAUGUAGAGACAUAUAGGGUGUGUGAGAGAAUCCCAUAGAGAGAAAGACAAAGUGAAAGACGAGUGGAGACUGUAUGUGUGGCGGUGAAAAAGAAAGCUUAGGUACCGAGUGAUACCAGAGAACAGUAGAGACGUGAGAGAUAAUGAAAACCGUGUAAUGUAUAAUGAUAGGGAGAGUGUGACACUUCUCAAGGGAGACGUCGAGAGACCAUGUUUGCGAGGAUAGGAGAAACAUGAAGUGAGCGUGCGGGUGAGCUGGAGAAAAGAGAGUGAUAGCUACAUGAAGGAGCAUGCAUGCGAGAGAGAUGGGCGUGAAAGGAGUGAACAAAAAAGGGAUUCAAAUAUUUGAAUUCGAGAUGAUGAUACAUGUAAUCCAUACUCGAACCAAAAUUGAUCUAUCAAACAUGCAUACUCAUAUGAAUUCACGCACAUCUAUGUUAUUUAAUAUGUAGAUAUUACUGAUCCAUACAUUUUAGUAGAACAUAAUUUGGUUAAAAAAAUUCGAAUUCAACCUUAAGAUUUUGAGAUCGUUGUAUUUGUAAAUCAUAUUAUACAUAUAAAGGAGCAUAAUUCUUUGUUGUGCUUUUGAAAGUAUAUAUAAAAAAAUGAUGUAUAUAGAAUGUAAUUCCAAUUGAAAAUGGAUCCCGCCCGGAAAAAAAUAGAAUACAAACGGGAUUCGAAUUGAGUUGGCAGGGUAAACAUGCACUCUGCAAAAUUUGAACGAAGCGGGGAAAGUCGCAGUAACCGCCCGAAACCAAAAUCUGCGAGAUGGAAAUCACUACUGCCUAUCCCUGCCACGCAAAGCCUAUCUGCUGGAUUUCUAUAGGUUUUGAUAGGGGUAGGUUUGUAAUUUCACCCAAACGUGACGUAACCGCCUCUCACCCAGAUUCAUACACGGUGGGCGCCAAAACACAGUGUGUCCUCGGCCGAAAUCGAGUCCCUCCCCGAUUCAUAUUCAUACACGGUGGGCACCAAAAACAAACUCUCGUCGGCAAAUAUUCGGUGUAUGCGAGAUUACCGUCCUAUCCCCAACUGACUAAUGUUGCUGUGAUGUAGUAGAAAUUUGAAACGGGGGCUAAGUUUGUAAAUUUCCUCGCAUUUGAGACAAGCGCGCCCUGAAUACAUGGUUCCCCCCUUCCUCUCUACCUCCCUUUUCAACAUUCGUACUCCGUGGGCGCCAAAACACCCUCUCCACCCCACCCUCCUCCGUCCGCCGCCGUCCGCCACCCCAUCCACCGCCGUCCUCCUCCACCAUGCCGGAGCUGAUACCCCGACGCCGCCGUCCAUUACAAGAGAUCGACCUCUCUCAUCCAUGGCUUCGGACCGGGAUCCUUGCAUCCCGUCCUCUCGCUUCAUCCCCGCCGUCGUCCACCUUGCCGGCGCCGCUCCUACGAUCGUCUCGUCCAUCGCGCCCCGUUGCCACCGUCUACCCUCCUAGAUCUGCUUCCACGCCGCCGACAGCCAUUGCUACCGCAGCACCGUCAAAUUCUCAGCAGAUGCAUACACGGCGCCGCACCAGAGGCGGUACUCUUUCGUAUCUGCUCAACUUAUUUAUCGCAGCAAGAAAAUAGAUCGCCACUGCUUUACUCUGAUUUCUUGUCUUGGUUGCGAAGUUGCCUUUGUCCGGUUUGCACCUUCAGAUCCGCCAUGGCACGCUCAACACUAUACUCCCAAUGCUUAUGGUUUUCCCCUUUUAUAUUCCACACUAGUUAAAUCAAAGUAGACUAAAUUUCAAAAUUGGGUCAGUCGAUUUUUCAGAGCUCGCGGGAGUUCGCCGGUGCGAUCGAAGGGGCUCGAGUGGUUGGGGCCUCGCCGAACAAAGAAAACUCGACGCGGGUGGGGGUUGGGGCGGGGGUGGGGGUGGCGGAGGAACACAGGCGAUGGGGGCCGGUGGUCCGGCCGGCGGCCCGUGCGGUGUUCUGUAUGGGAAGAAUCAAAGACGAGGAAGAAGAAGGGUUAGGAGACGUAGGAUCUUCAUCCAACCGCCUGAAAUGGUCGAGAGACAGUUGGGAGUUGCAUUCUUAAUGCGCUCUGGUUCAUCAUGUGUGGGCACUGCGCAACCAACAUUUUAUUAUCCAAAAUCUGCUUGCUCUUCUUUACCAUGUUCCUCUUCCGUUCUUCUUUAAUAUGUACUCUCUCCGUUCCUAAAUACAAGUCUUUGUAUAGAUUCCACCAUGGACUACAUAUGGAGCAAAAUGAGUGAAUCUACACUCUAAAAUGUAUCUGGAUACAUCUGUAUGUGAUCCAUAGUGGCAAUCUCUACCAAGACUUAUAUUUUGGAACGGAGGGAGUAUGAUAGUAGUACAGUAUGUUCCUUGUACUGAAGAUGAGCAGGGACAUUUGCAGUGUCGAGGUCUAUACGGUCGGUUGUGAUGGACACUUUGAGCCUCUUUGAUUCGUAGGAUCUUGUAAACAUAGGAAUAGGAUUUGUAGUGGCCUGCCCACUUGAAUCCUAUAAGAAUAGCAAGGAAAUGUGGGGAGUUGUGUCGCCUUUGAGAGUUACACUGAUAUUAACAGUACCGCACCUUCACUUGAAGAGAGCUGGUAUCCGAAGCCUUUCUAGCCGUACCGGCAAUACUAGCACAUAUAUUCCAGCAAGUUCCACUUUGCUGAUUUUACUCUGAUGCUUAAGGUUUUCCCGUUAUAUCUACACUAUGAUCUGUGUAGCUGCUUUGUGUCGCACUAGCAGCAGUCCACUCUUGAAGCUAAACACUGCAAUGACUUACAAAAUUGGCACCAAGGCAUUGAGUGCCAUUCUGUAUGCAUUGAAACUCAUACGCUCCCCACCUGUUGAUUCUUGUUCAGAAUAUGAUCCUAAUGACUAUUCUAACCUCGAGGAGUCAAAGGCAGAUGGCCUGUCCUGUUCACCCAUCAAGGUGCCUAUUCUAAUUUGGCAAUGUUUUAUUGAUUGCGGGUAUCUUGCAUAUGUUGUCUUGCAUUUCUUCUACUUUGUUGCACCGCCAUCUGCUUAGUUCACUCAUCAUAUAUGUCGAGAUGCCAUGCCCAUCCAUUAUCAAUACAUAUUCCAUCUGUCAUCAUACCAUGUUUUUCCACUCAAAUGCUGUUCUUGUGCAUCAGACAUCAAAAAGGAAGAGGGUUAUUACCGAACCUGAAGGAGCACCAGCAAAGUCCUUGAAAAACGUGGUGGUGCCGGAGAAAUCAGACAUCACCCCACUUAUAUUAGUUGUACAACCAGUGACACAAAACGUAGGACCGACUCCAGCAGACUGUACCCAUACUUCACUGGCCACACCACUAGCCCCACCACACGGGACCUGCACUCCAGCAAAAGGUAUACCGAUUUCAUUUUCCAUAGCACCAGCUGUACCACAGAAAAAUCCCACUCCAGCAAAAAGUACAGCAAGUCCACCGGCCGAAGACCUAUCCCAACUGCAGAGACGGCCAAUUCUUGCAGAUUGGAACCACAUUCCAUUUAUUCCCAGUUUAAAAGACAAUGCUUUCAAUGUUGUUAGGGACUACGUGCAUAUAUUCCCAUCAUGGGAAGAUUAUUGUGAAGACAAACACCAUUUUCACAUCUUCCUGUCCAACUUACGUGUAAGUGCCAUUAUUCAUGGUUAUUAUUUUCCUGUUUUCUGCUGAUUGAACACAUCAAUGAUUUACAUUACAUUGUUGUAACUAGGCGAGGGUCAAUCUGGAUAGUCAUGACGAGCAAAGCUUGCUUGUGCUUUUCAAGGAAGCAUUGCAGCAGUAUCGGUGUUACCUGAGGAAAUCACACUUUGAUGGCAAGUCUAUAAACGAAUUUCCGGUGAAGUCUCCUGUGCUAAAUUUAGAAGACAUUGAAUGGAAAAACCUUGUUAUGCAGUGGUCUCGUUCCCAGGAUGAGGUACUGUCUAUGAAAUCACAUGACAAUUUGAACUUCUACUUUUCCGCAUGUGCCUUACGGAUCUUUUUUGCAGGAAAUCUGCUCGAAGAAGAAUUCCGGUUUGACAAGAACGAUAGGAUAUCGCAAAUAUGCUGCCCGCUGCUUUGCUCUUGUUAGUACAUGUUGUCCUGUAUCACUGUACUUGCAUACAUACCUGGUUCAUUAUGUGACAGCAGUAUGCAUGAUAGCUUGCUUAUCAAUUGUUCGCUCCAAAUUAUCUGAUCUGUAUGAAUGGUUACAUUAGUGUAGAAUAUAUCCAAUGCCAAUGUUUUUUUAGCUCUGCAUUGUUCUUGUAAGUACAUGCUGUCCUUUAUCAGUGUACUUAUACUGACAGGUAGUUGUUCAUGUACCAUCACUCUGCAGCUUAUUUUCCUUUGCCCUCCAUUUUCUACACAUCAGAUCUAUAUUUACUCUUACCAUAAGGUUGGUACUGAAGAAGUUUAGCUGUGCAUUGCUCUUGGCUAUACCUUUUGCCUGUAUCGCUGCACUUACAUUUAUAGCUACUUGGUUAUGUAGCAUCACUCUUCAUCUUAUCUUAAAUAUUCUCCAUUUUCUCGCAUAUUAUCACAUCUAUAUUUACUCUUAACAAAAUGUAGAAUAAAGGCAAUGCUUUUGAAGAAGAUUCUGUGGUAAACUUCUUGAAUUGCCCCCCCAUCAGCAUGGACAAGGCCUUUAUAGAGCCUGUCUUCACCAAUAAUGUAAGUUUGUCCAUCUCAAGCCUUCAAAAUUUGUUGUAUAUAUUUGGUUAGGCAUGACUGCAACAGCUGUUUAUUUUUGGUGUUUGCAUCAAAUUGCUUGUUUAAACUUUAUUAUGUAGUUCAUAAACAAAAGUUUGUCCUUUCUCAAUUUAAGUUUUCAGUUGUACAACCAAGUUCCUUCUUCAUACCAUGUAAAUUAAACUAUACAGAGCAAGUGAUCUUCUUUUGCACUGCAUGUAUGCUUCUGUUCUUCAUCCGUAAUCCAGUGGUGUGGUGAACCUACCCACUACAGCACAAUGUCAUAUUCUGCAAUGUCUUAACUAUGAACAAUGUCAUAUCAUUCUACUAUUAUUUAAACCGUCUCUUUAUUUGCCAAUCUGAAAUGGUAUAAAUUGACAGCACACUAACCAUUGAUACUUAUGAGUUCUUGAUCUAUAAUCCAGUGGUGUCGUGAAGCUACCAACUCCUUCACAAUGUCAUUUCCUGCCAUGUCUUGACCUGAACAAUACCAUAUUGUGUUAAUGCAAUUUUAAACUGUGUCACUUUAUUCGUCAGUAAGAAAUGUGAUGAAUUGUCAGCACUGAUACUUUUAUGUGCAAAACAUGUCUUAUGUCUGCUUGUUUAUCUUUCAGAGUGAGGAAGAUAUAAGUGUUGAACAAGCGCAGUCUCAUCAUCUUGCUCAGCUGCUUGCGCUGCAGCUCCCCAGCAGGGCUAACCUUUCUUGAACUCUAUUGAAGUGCUGUCGGUUUUGUAUAUUAUUUUGUCGGCGUGUUUAUUUGCACUGGUGGCGAUCUUUGAUGCCCAGUGUAUGUAAUCUGCUGUCUGCUUGUGCUUUAUUAUCAUAGCGGCGAACUUUGAUGCCAAGUGGAUGUAAUAUGCCGUAAUUUCUUUAUUGUAUAGUCUAGAUUUUUUCUUAUUCACGAUGCUGCAGUUAUUUUACUGUAUAUAUAUCCUGUCUUCGCAGUACACUGGCCAAACCGUAAAAUUUCGGUACAUAAUCGGGCCGUCAUGCAAUCACGAUGUAGGUUGGGCCUGAAACAUGCCGAACAGCUCACGGGCCGGCAGCAGCCCGAAAUGAACCCCGGCCCAUGAUUAUGUGAAUCAAAUCACGGGCUUUUAACAGGCCAAAAUUGUCUCGGUCCUUGUUUGACCCAAUCAGAUAUCGGCUGCGAGCAGGCCGGAUGCAAACCGGGCCGUAGUUAGUGUUGGAAAUAUGCCCUAGAGGCAAUAAUAAAUGGUUAUUAUUAUAUUUCUUUGUUCAUGAUAAUUGUCUAUUGUUCAUGCUAUAAUUGUGUUAUCCGGAAAUCGUAAUACAUGUGUGAAUAUAUAGACCACAACGUGUCCCUAGUAAGCCUCUAGUUGACUAGCUCGUUGAUCAACAGAUAGUCAUGGUUUCCUGACUAUGGACAUUGGAUGUCAUUGAUAACGGGAUCACAUCAUUAGGAGAAUGAUGUGAUGGACAAGACCCAAUCCUAAGCAUAGCUCAAAGAUCGUGUAGUUCGUUUGCUAGAGCUUUUCCAUUGUCAAGUAUCUUUUCCUUAGACCAUGAGAUCGUGCAACUCCCGGAUGCCGUAGGAGUGCUUUGGGUGUGCCAAACGUCAGAACGUAACUGGGUGACUAUAAAGGUACACUACGGGUAUCUCCGAAAGUGUCUGUUGGGUUGGCACGGAUCGAGACUGGGAUUUGUCACUCCGUAUGACGGAGAGGUAUCUCUGGGCCCACUCGGUAAUGCAUCAUCAUAAUGAGCUCAAUGUGACUAAGGAGUUAGCCACGGGAUCAUGAAUUACGGUACGAGUAAAGAGACUUGCCGGUAACGAGAUUGAACAAGGUAUUGGGAUACCGACGAUCGAAUCUCGGGCAAGUAACAUACCGAUUGACAAAGGGAAUUGUAUACGGGAUUGAUUGAAUCCUCGACAUCGUGGUUCAUCCGAUGAGAUCAUCGUGGAACAUGUGGGAGCCAACAUGGGUAUCCAGAUCCCGCUGUUGGUUAUUGACCGGAGAGGCGUCUCGGUCAUGUCUGCAUGUCUCCCGAACCCGUAGGGUCUACACACUUACGGUUCGGUGACGCUAGGGUUGUAGAGAUAUUAGUAUGCGGAAACCCGAAAGUUGUUCGGAGUCCCGGAUGAGAUCCCGGACAUCACGAGGAGUUCCGGAAUGGUCCGGAGGUGAAGAAUUAUAUAUAGGAAGUCCAGUUUCGGCCACCGGGAAAGUUUCGGGGGUUAUCGGUAUUGUACCGGGACCACCGGAAGGGUCCCGGGGGUCCAUCGGGUGGGGCCACCUAUCCCGGAGGGCCCCAUGGGCUGAAGUGGGAAGGGAACCAGCCCUUAGUGGGCUGGGGCGCCCCCCCUUGGGCCUCCCCCUGCGCCUAGGGUUGGAAACCCUAGGGGUGGGGGCGCCCCACUUGGCUUGGGGGGGGAAGCCACCCCCCCUUCCCCCUUGGCCGCCCCCCCCCUUGUAGAUGGGUUCUAGGGCUGGCGCCCCCCCUCCAGGGGGCCUAUAUAUAGUGGGGGGAGGGAGGGCAGCAACACCACAGCCCCUGGCGCCUCCCUCUCCCCCUGCAACACCUCUCCCUCUCGCAGAAGCUUGGCGAAGCCCUGCCGAGAUCCCGCUACAUCCACCACCACGCCGUCGUGCUGCUGGAUCUCCAUCAACCUCUCCUUUCCCCUUGCUGGAUCAAGAAGGAGGAGACGUCGCUACUCCGUACGUGUGUUGAACGCGGAGGUGCCGCCCGUUCGGCACUCGGUCAUCGGUGAUUUGGAUCACGGCGAGUACGACUCCAUCAACCCCGUUCAUUGGAACGCUUCCGCUCGCGAUCUACAAGGGUAUGUAGAUGCACUCCUUUCCCCUUGUUGCAAGUAUACUCCAUAGAUGGAUCUUGGUGAUGCGUAGGAAAUUUUAAAAUUCUGCUACGAUCCCCAACAGUGGCAUCAUGAGCCAGGCCUAUGCGUAGUUACUAUGCACGAGUAGAACACAAAGCAGUUGUGGGCGUAGAUGUUGCCAAUUCUUCUUGCCGCUACUAGUCUUAUCUUGUUUCGGCGGUAUUGUGGGAUGAAGCGGCCCGGACCGACCUUACACGUACGCUUACGUGAGACAGGUUCCACCGACUGACAUGCACUAGUUGCAUAAGGUGGCUAGCGGGUGUCUGUCUCUCCCACUUUAGUCGGAACAGAUUCGAUGAAAAGGGUCCUUAUGAAGGGUAAAUAGAAAUUGGCAUAUCACGUUGUGGUUUUACGUAGGUAAGAAACGUUCUUGCUAGAAACCUAUACAAGCCACGUAAAAACUUGCAACAACAAUUAGAGGACGUCUAACUUGUUUUUGCAGCAUGUGCUAUGUGAUGUGAUAUGGCCAGAAGAUGUGAUGAAUGAUAUAUGUGAUGUAUGAGAUUGAUCAUAUUCUUGUAAUAGGAAUCACGACUUGCAUGUCGAUGAGUAUGACAACCGGCAGGAGCCAUAGGAGUUGUCUUUAUUAUUUUGUAUGACCUGCGUGUCAUUGAAUAACGCCAUGUAAAUUACUUUACUUUAUUGCUAAACGCGUUAGCCAUAGAAGUAGAAGUAAUCGUUGGCGUGACAACUUCAUGAAGACACAAUGAUGGAGAUCAUGGUGUCAUGCCGGUGACGAAGAUGAUCAUGGUGCCCCGAAGAUGGAGAUCAAAGGAGCAAAAUGAUAUUGGCCAUAUCAUGUCACUAUUUGAUUGCAUGUGAUGUUUAUCAUGUUUUGCAUCUUAUUUGCUUAGAACGACGGUAGUAAGUAAGAUGAUCCCUUGUGAUAAUUUCAAGAAAGUGUUCCCCCUAACUGUGCAUCGUUGCGAAGGUUCGUUGUUUCAAAGCACCACGUGAUGAUCGGGUGUGAUAGAUUCUAACGUUCGCAUACAACGGGUGUUGACGAGCCUAGCAUGUACAGACAUGGCCUCGGAACACACGCAAUACACUUAGGUUGACUUGACGAGCCUAGCAUGUACAGACAUGGCCUCGGAACACGGAGGACCGAAAGGUCGAGCAUGAGUCAUAUAGAAGAUACGAUCAACAUGGAGAUGUUCACCGAUCUUGACUAGUCCGUCUCACGUGAUGAUCGGACACGGCCUAGUUAACUCGGAUCAUGUUUCACUUAGAUGACCAGAGGGAUGUCUAUCUGAGUGGGAGUUCAUUGAAGAAUUUGAUUAUAUGAACUUAAUUAUCAUGAACUUAGUCUAAAAUCUUUACAAUAUGUCUUGUAGAUCAAAUGGCCCACGUUGUCCUCAACUUCAACGCGUUCCUAGAGAAAACCAAGCUGAAAGAUGAUGGCAGCAAUUAUACGGACUGGGUCCGGAACCUGAGGAUCAUCCUCAUAGCUGCCAAGAAAGAUUAUGUCAUAGAAGCACCGCUAGGUGAAGCACCAAUCCUAGAGAACCAAGACGUUAUGAACGCUUGGCAAUCACGUGCUGAUGAUUACUCCCUCGUUCAGUGCGGCAUGCUUUACAGCUUAGAACCGGGGCUCCAAAAGCGUUUUGAGAAGCAUGGAGCAUAUGAGAUGUUCGAAGAGCUGAAAAUGGGUUUCCAAGCUCAUGCCCGGGUCGAGAGAUAUGAAGUCUCCGACAAGUUCUUCAGCUGUAAAAUGGAGGAAAAUAGUUCUGUUAGUGAGCACAUACUCAGAAUGUCUGGGUUACACAACCGCUUGUCUCAGCUGGGAGUUAAUCUCCCGGAUGACGCGGUCAUUGACAGAAUCCUUCAGUCGCUUCCACCGAGCUACAAGAGCUUUGUGAUGAACUUCAAUAUGCAGGGGAUGGAAAAGACCAUUCCUGAGGUAUAUUCGAUGCUGAAAUCAGCGGAGGUGGAGAUCAGAAAGGAACAUCAAGUGUUGAUGGUGAAUAAAACCACUAAGUUCAAGAAAGGCAAGGGUAAGAAGAACUUCAAGAAGGACGGCAAGGGAGUUGCCGCGCCCGGUAAGCCAGUUACCGGGAAGAAGUCAAAGAAUGGACCCAAGCCUGAGACUGAGUGCUUUUAUUGCAAGGGAAGUGGUCACUGGAAGCGGAACUGCCCCAAAUACUUAGCGGACAAGAAGGCCGGCAACACCAAAGGUAUAUGUGAUAUACAUGUAAUUGAUGUGUACCUUACCAGUACUCGUAGUAGCUCCUGGGUAUUUGAUACCGGUGCGGUUGCUCAUAUUUGUAACUCAAAACAGGAACUGCGGAAUAAGCGGAGACUGGCAAAGGACGAGGUGACGAUGCGCGUCGGGAAUGGUUCCAAGGUCGAUGUGAUCGCCGUCGGCACGCUACCUCUGCAUUUACCUACGGGAUUAGUUUUAAACCUCAAUAAUUGUUAUUUAGUACCAGCUUUGAGCAUGAACAUUGUAUCUGGAUCUCGUUUAAUUCGAGAUGGCUACUCAUUUAAAUCCGAGAAUAAUGGUUGUUCUAUUUAUAUGAGAGAUAUGUUUUAUGGUCAUGCCCCGCUGGUCAAUGGUUUAUUCUUGAUGAAUCUCGAACGUGAUGUUACACAUAUUCAUAGUGUGAAUACCAAAAGAUGUAAAGUUGAUAACGAUAGUCCCACAUACUUGUGGCACUGCCGCCUUGGUCACAUUGGUGUCAAGCGCAUGAAGAAGCUCCAUGCAGAUGGACUUUUGGAGUCUCUUGAUUACGAAUCAUUUGACACGUGCGAACCAUGCCUCAUGGGUAAGAUGACCAAGACUCCAUUCUCUGGAACAAUGGAGCGAGCAACCAACUUAUUGGAAAUCAUACAUACCGAUGUGUGCGGUCCAAUGAGUGUUGAGGCUCGCGGAGGAUAUCGUUAUGUUCUCACUCUCACUGAUGACUUAAGUAGAUAUGGGUAUGUCUACCUAAUGAAACACAAGUCUGAAACCUUUGAAAAGUUCAAGGAAUUUCAGAGUGAGGUUGAGAAUCAACGUGACAGGAAAAUAAAAUUCUUACGAUCAGAUCGUGGUGGAGAAUAUUUAAGUCACGAAUUUGGUACGCACUUAAAGAAAUGUGGAAUCGUUUCACAACUCACGCCACCUGGAACAGCUCAGCGAAACGGUGUGUCCGAACGUCGUAAUCGCACUCUAUUGGAUAUGGUGCGAUCUAUGAUGUCUCUUACCGAUCUACCGCUCUCAUUUUGGGGCUAUGCUUUAGAGACUGCCGCAUUCACUUUAAAUAGGGCUCCGUCGAAAUCCGUUGAGACGACACCGUAUGAAUUAUGGUUUGGGAAGAAACCUAAGCUGUCGUUUCUAAAAGUUUGGGGAUGCGAUGCUUAUGUCAAGAAACUUCAACCUGAAAAGCUCGAACCCAAGUCGGAAAAAUGCGUCUUCAUAGGAUACCCUAAGGAAACCAUUGGGUAUACCUUCUACCUCAGAUCCGAAGGCAAGAUCUUUGUUGCCAAGAACGGGUCCUUUCUGGAGAAAGAGUUUCUCUCAAAAGAAUUGAGUGGGAGGAAAGUGGAACUUGAUGAGGUGAUAGUCACUCCUUCCGAACAUCAAAGUAGCGCAGCGCGGGAAGAUGUUCCUGUGGUGCCUACACCGACUGGGGAGGAAGUUAAUGAUGAUGAUCAUGAAGCUUCGGAUCAAGUUACUGCUGAACUUCGUAGGUCCACAAGGACACGUUCUGCACCAGAGUGGUACGGCAACCCUGUCCUGGAAAUCAUGUUGUUAGACAACGGUGAACCUUCGAACUAUGAAGAAGCGAUGGCGGGCCCGGAUUCCGACAAAUGGCUAGAAGCCAUGAAAUCCGAGAUAGGAUCCAUGUAUGAAAACAAAGUGUGGACUUUGACAGACUUGCCCGAUGAUCGGCGAGCGAUAGAAAACAAAUGGAUCUUUAAGAAGAAGACGGACGCAGAUGGUAAUGUUACCAUCUAUAAAGCUCGACUUGUCGCUAAGGGUUAUCGACAAGUUCAAGGGGUUGACUACGAUGAGACUUUCUCACCCGUAGCGAAGCUGAAGUCCGUCCGAAUCAUGUUAGCAAUUGCCCGAGAUUCGAUUGUCGGUAUCUCAAUACCUAGUUCAAUCUCGUUACCGGCAAGUCUCUUUACUUGUUCCGUAAUGCAUCAUCCCGCAACUAACUCAUUAGUCACAUUGCUUGCAAGGCUUAUAGUGAUGUGCAUUACCGAGAGGGCCCAGAGAUACCUCUCCGACAAUCGGAGUGACAAAUCCUAAUCUCGAUCUAUGCCAACUCAACAAACACCACCGGAGACACCUGUAGAGCACCUUUAUAAUCACCCAGUUACGUUGUAAAAUUUGGUAGCACACUAAGUGUUCCUCUGGUAUUCGGGAGUUGCAUAAUCUCAUAGUCAUAGGAACAUGUAUAAGUCAUGAAGAAAGCAAUAGCAAAUAAACUAAACGAUCAAGUGCUAGGCUAACGGAAUGGGUCAAGUCAAUCACAUCAUUCUCUAAUGAUGUGAUCCCGUUAAUCAAAUGACAACUCAUGUCUAUGGCUAGGAAACUUAACCAUCUUUGAUUCAACGAGCUAGUCAAGUAGAGGCAUACUAGUGAGGCUCUGUUUGUCUAUGUAUUCACACAUGUACUAAAUUUCCGGUUAAUACAAUUCUAGCAUGAAUAAUAAAAGUUUAUCACGAUAUAAGGAAAUAUAAAUAACAACUUUAUUAUUGCCUCUAGGGCAUAUUUCCUUCAGAAGGUGACCGGGAGGCGGAUCUGCCCCAGGGGGCAGGUGGAGCCGUCGACGACCCCGGUGAAGGGUUUGGUGGGGCGGAGCCGGCCAUGAGGCACAUGAAGCAAGCCGAAUGCCUCCAUAGAGAGCACACUGAGGCCGGCUCCACCGUCGAUGAGGGUAUUGGUGACUGCCACAUUGCAGAUGGUGGGGGUGCAGAGCAACGGGAGUGUGCCGACGCCCGCGGUGGUCGCGGGGUGGUCCUUCGGGUCGAAGGUGAGGUCUGCCCUGGGCGCCGCCCAGCCCGGGGAGCCCCAUAUUGCACGCGGGCGGCACCCACCUGGCGACAGAACUGCUUGACGUGGCGGUCCGAGGGUGGCGCCUGCGAAGCACCGAGGAUGGCCGCGACGGCGUGGGGCGCCGGUGCCGCGAAGCGCACGACAAAGAGGCCGCGCAGCUCCUCCCAGGAGGCCACAGAAGAUCCCGGCAAGUUGAGCAGCCAGGCGCGCGCCGCGCCUGCGAGGGCCAUAGGAAGCCAGUUGGCCAUGACCUUGUCGUCGCCGCCGACCGCCAACACAGCCUCCUCGCACGCCUGGAGAAAACCUGUCAGGCCCACCGCGCCGUCGUAUCGGGGCGGCAGCUCCGGCCUGAACUUGGGUGGCCACUGCACCCGCCGCAAGGCGGGGGUGAAAUCUCGGAGGCCCUCGUCUCCUCUGAAGGCGCGCGUCGAUCCGGUCGAUGAAGGAGCGUCCGCGAUGAGAGCCGACAGCGGAGCGCACGCACCCCUACCUGGCGCGCCAAAUGUCGGAUUUCGGGUUCCGCAGACCCUUGAGAGAUUCAAACUCUGGGGUGCGUGCGAAGAAUUCAAUCUCCCCACUCUGCCUACUCGCUGAUCUCACAGCCUAGCUCGACGAACUCAAAGGAAAGGGGACAUGGCAGUUUACCUAGGUUCGGGCCACCUUGCGGUGUAAAACCCUACUCCUGCUUUGUGGUGGAUUGGCCUCGGGAGGCUAAGGAUGAACUAGUACAGUGGGAGAACAACCUCGUGAGGAGGAGUGUUCUUGAGCUCAAGUGGGAUGGUGAGCUGGUUAGGGUGGAAUGGAUCCGAUCCCCUUUAUGGUGGUGGUGUUGGGAACGCGGUAAUUUCAAAAAAAAUCCUACGCACACGCAAGAUCUAUCAUGGUGAUGUAUAACAACGAGAGGGGAGAGUGUUGUCCACGUACCCUCGUAGACCAAAAGCGGAAGCGUUAUGACAACGCGGUUGAUGUAGUCAUACGUCUUCACGAUCCGACCGAUCCUAGUACCGAAAGUACGACACCUCCAUGAUCUGCACACGUUCGGCUCGGUGAUGUCCCACGAACUCUUGAUCCAGCUGAGUGUCGAGGGAGAGCUUCGUUAGCACGACGGCGUGAUGACGGUGAUGAUGAAGCUACUGGCGCAGGGCUUCGCCUAAGCACUGCAACGAUAUGACCGAGGUGGAUUAUGGUGAAGGGGGGCACCGCACACGGCUAAGAGAUCAAUGAUCAACUUGUGUGUCUAUGGGUGCCCCUGCCCCCGUAUAUAAAGGAGCAAGGGGGGAGGCCGGCCAGCCCUAGGGAGCGCCAAGGAGGGGAGGAGUCCUCCUCCCCUCCGGAGUAGGACUCCCCCUUUCCUAGUCCAACUAGGAGGGGGAAGGGGGAAGGAAGGAGAGGGAGGGAAAGAGGGGGCGCCGCCCCCCUCCUUGUCCAAUUUGGACUCCUCAAGGGGGGGGGACGCGUGGCCAGCCCUAAGGCCCCCUCCUCUCUCUCACAAGGCCCAUGUUGUCCCAUUAGUUCCCCGGGGGGUUCCGAUGACCCUCCGGCACUCCGAUAAUCAUCCGGUGACCCCCGGAACUCAUCCGGUGUUCGAAUAUAGUCAUCCAAUAUAUCAAUCUUUAUGUCUCGACCAUUUCGAGACUCCUCGUCAUGUCCGUGAUCACAUCCGGGACUCUGAACUAUCUUCGGUACAUCAAAACACAUAAACUCAUAAUACCGAUCGUCAUUGAACGUUAAGCGUGCGGACCCUACGGGUUCGAGAACUAUGUAGACAUGACCGAGACACAUCUCCGGUCAAUAACCAAUAGCGGAACCUGGAUGCUCAUAUUGGCUCCUACAUAUUCUACGAAGAUCUUUAUGGUCAAACCGCAUAACAACAUACGUUGUUCCCUUUGUCAUCGGUAUGUUACUUGCGCGAGAUUCGAUCGUCGGUAUCCUCAUGCCUAGUUCAAUCUCAUUACCGGCAAGUCUCUUUACUCGUUCCGUAAUGCAUCAUCCCGUAACUAACUCAUUAGUCACAAUGCUUGCAAGGCUUAUAGUGAUGUGCAUUACCGAGAGGGCCCAAAGAUACCUCUCCGAUACACGGAGUGACAAAUCCUAAUCUCGAUCUAUGCCAACUCAACAAACACCUUCGGAGACACCUGUAGAGCAUCUUUAUAAUCACCCAGUUACAUUGUGACGUUUGAUAGCACACAAGGUGUUCCUCCGGUAUUCGGGAGUUGCAUAAUCUCAUAGUCAGAGGAACAUGUAUAAGUCAUGAAGAAAGCAAUAGCAAUUAAACUAAACAAUCAUUAUGCUAAGCUAACGGAUGGGUCUUGUCCAUCACAUCAUUCUCUAAUGAUGUGAUCCCGUUCAUCAAAUGACAACACAUGUCCAUGGCUACGAAACUUAACCAUCUUUGAUUAACGAGCUAGUCAAGUAGAGGCCUACUAAGGACACUCUGUUUUAUCUAUGUAUUCACACAUGUAUCAAGUUUCCGGUUAAUACAAUUCUAGCAUGAAUAAUAAACAUUUAUCAUGAAAUAAGGAAAUAAAUAAUAACUUUAUUAUUGCCUCUAGGGCAUAUUUCCUUCAGGUGGCUAGGUCCUAUUUAUAGUGGCCUUGGUCCUCUUCCCAGAUGAAGGCGGGAAGGGAUCCCACAAUGGCAAAAUUCGAAGGGGGACAACUAGUACAUGCUAUCCUGACAAAAGUUGUCUUCGCCUGCAAAAGCCUCUGGUCGUGAUGCCGUGGUGGGCUCGACGAUGACCUCUGUCCUGCCGUCCUGGCGGUCUUGGUCUUGUUGCACGAGAAUGAAAACCUUUGGUUGAUUCCUCGGGACUCCGCGCCUGCGCUUGCCUCCUUAGCACCAAAGAGGAAACUGGUACUCUGCACCCCUAGUGCCCGCCCGGCCUUGGUCGUCAUGGCUCACGUCAUCUGAACCUCACGAGGCACGGCUUGCAUAGAGAUCUCCGCUCCUCGGGAGCCAGCCUGCGGAGGCAGCUCCUCGUGGAGGUCUUGGUGUCGUCCGCCUCGCGAGGCUUGGCCCCUCGCGAGGGUCUUGAGUUGUUGACAUUGAAGCUGGGCCAUACCAGGCCGUCGAUGGAGCCACGCCGUGGGUCGCAGGCAGGCAAGUCUGGGUACCCCCGUUCCCAGAACGCCGACACCGACAGUGUCGGGUAGUUCGCCUCCUGGAGGAGGUACGCCUCCCACUCGUGAAGGUGGCGGCGGCCAAAGCCGUUGGCCGUUGCUCCGUCGCCAGGGAAAAUUUCGGCCAUCGGUGACUUGAGACGGGGAAAGAGAGGAUGUCAACGGCGGGGAGAGAGGACGUCGGUGGCGAGCGAGAGAGAGGCUGUGGCGAGGGAGUGUGCGGCCAGCGGCAAGGAAGGGUGGCUUUUAUAGCGGCGAGUGGGCGGCGAGCGGGCGGCAACAAUGUGGACGCGUGGUGGGAGGGAGCGGGAUGCACAGCGACGCGCCUUCACUGCGCCGCGGGUGAAUCAUUGGAAGCUGACAGGCGGCAGCCUUCACAUUGAUUCCCACGGGAAACUGAGGCGCCGAGGACGACGAACGUGCCCAGUCGCUGACUCGGCAGGUCCACCAGGUUUGGCGCCAAAAUAGUUUCGCCCGGUGCCCUAGGGCGCCCCCCAUCGCGCCCGGUUCGGUGUGGUUCCGCCAGCGCCAAUUUCGACCCUAACCGACGAAAUUUGGGCUCCUGGGACGCGACUGAGCCGAUUUUUUUUAGCCGGCGAUAAAAAGGACCUGAAGGGGCCUGUUGGGGGGGAGCGGAGAUGCUCUAAGGAGCGGGAGCUUUUAAUAUCCACCUCUCCCGCCUUCUUCUUCUUCGUGGCACCCCUUUUCCUUUCAAUUUUAAUAGUAACAAUUUUCAUCAAUUAAAUGAACAACUAUGUAGAUUAUUCGUAUUUACUUUUUAUGGGGGAAGCUCAAGUUCAUGGUGUUCCCACAACUUUUUCAAUCUUGCUGCCACAAAGUCCUAUCGCCAUUGUAGAGAAAAUACUUUAAAAAUUGUAUUUAAACACAGUACUCGCAUGCGUAAAAUUCAAAUAAAAAAUACACCUAAACAACAUGAGUAUGAGUAUAUGGAAAAAUAUAUCAUCUGCGGCAUCCAUUCUCCGAAAUCAAAUCUUGUCGUUCCGAUAUCUUUGGACGAUGAUAACUGCCACACAUGUGGGCGUUAAGGGGUCUGCCCACAUGUUUUGUGUGGUGUCUAAGAGGACCAAUCCACACGCCUAUGUGUUGGCAAAACAACUAGCGCCCACAUGCCUCUUUUUUUCUUUGCGGUCCCUCUCACACGCCUACGUGUGGGCAAAAUGCAUAACGCCCACACGACCUCUCUCAGCCACCUACCUCACGGCCCCGCACGCCCCGCGUGACAAUCACCACGCGUCCCCGCAGUUGCCAUGGUCCGGACCCUCUUCAAUGUCCGUUUACCUGCAGUUGACAUGUCGCUGAACUACAGUUGUCAAGUCGGACAACUACAGUUGUUAUGGUUGCUCAACUGCAGUUGUCAUCUCAGGUCAAGUGCCAGAUGCCAUUUUGGACAAUUGCAGUUGUUGCCAUGUAUGGUCUGAUUUACUAUAGUUGCCAUGAUUUGAAAACUUUAGAGGUUGCCACCUGCUAACACUAAGCAGUUGCCAUGUAUGGUCUAGUUGACUACAGUUGCCAUGAUUUGAAAACCUUAGAAGUUGCCACCUACUAACACCAGGUAGUUGCCGUGUAGCGCUACAAAGAGACAUGGCAAAACAACAUGUUUGGGUAAAAGAGAGAGUUGCCAUCUGCUUACAAGAACACUAGGACAGUUGCCGUGUACCCUGCAAAACACAUGACAACUGACAUGUUUGGGUAAAAAAAGAGAGAGUUGACAUCUGCUUACAAGCACACUAGGGCAGUUGCGAUAUAUACUUCAGAACGCAUGGCAACUGGCAGCUUGGGUGUGGGAGAGGAGACGGAUGUGUGGGCGAGAUGACAAAUGCCCACACACCAGCCCUUGUGCGUGAGUGAAAACUGGCGUGUGGGCGAACUGCUAAACGCCCACACACCGACCCGCCGUGUGGUAAAACGGACGUGUGGGCGACCAGGUGAAUGCCCACACAUCAACCCAGUCUUACGUGGCACCACAAACAUGCCAAGAUUCGUGCACCCAUAAACGGACGCGGAUUCACGCGUGUCGACAAGAUGCAAACGCCCACACAUGUGGGCGUUAGUGUUUCCGAUAUCUUUUGCUUGUCUUUUUGAAAACAAAACAAAACAAAUGCCGUCCACGUUUUUUGCCACCACAGCUAUAUACGCACACCCCUAAAAAAGAAGAUAUAACAAAAAAAAAAAACGCACCGCAGCAAAUCUGGAUCGUUGCAAGCAACAUCGAACGGUUCAUACGACGCCAUGUCACGGAUCCGCGGCACCCACGAAUCCACCAAUCAGCGCUACCUCCCUCUCACUAUAAACCUAGCACCGUGCUCCUUCUUUCCCCAAUUCCANNNNNNNNNNNNNNNNNNNNNNNNNNNNNNNNNNNNNNNNNNNNNNNNNNNNNNNNNNNNNNNNNNNNNNNNNNNNNNNNNNNNNNNNNNNNNNNNNNNNNNNNNNNNNNNNNNNNNNNNNNNNNNNNNNNNNNNNNNNNNNNNNNNNNNNNNNNNNNNNNNNNNNNNNNNNNNNNNNNNNNNNNNNNNNNNNNNNNNNNNNNNNNNNNNNNNNNNNNNNNNNNNNNNNNNNNNNNNNNNNNNNNNNNNNNNNNNNNNNNNNNNNNNNNNNNNNNNNNNNNNNNNNNNNNNNNNNNNNNNNNNNNNNNNNNNNNNNNNNNNNNNNNNNNNNNNNNNNNNNNNNNNNNNNNNNNNNNNNNNNNNNNNNNNNNNGGCCCCCAAGGCGGAGAAGAAGCCGGCGGCGAAGAAGCCCGCGGAGGAGGAGCCGGCGACGGAGAAGGCCGAGAAGGCCCCGGCCGGGAAGAAGCCCAAGGCGGAGAAGCGGCUGCCGGCGGGCAAGAAAACCGCCUCCAAGGAGGGCGGCGGCGAGAAGAGGGGCCGGAAGAAGGGCAAGAAGAGCGUCGAGACCUACAAGAUCUACAUCUUCAAGGUGCUGAAGCAGGUGCACCCCGACAUCGGCAUCUCCUCCAAGGCCAUGUCCAUCAUGAACUCCUUCAUCAACGACAUCUUCGAGAAGCUCGCCGGCGAGGCCGCCAAGCUCGCCCGCUACAACAAGAAGCCCACCAUCACCUCCCGGGAGAUCCAGACCUCCGUCCGCCUCGUCCUCCCCGGGGAGCUCGCCAAGCACGCCGUCUCCGAGGGCACCAAGGCCGUCACCAAGUUCACCUCCUCUUAGAUUCCAUUGCCUGUAUCCAAUAGCUGUUCGCCCUGGUUAUCGCCAAGUAGAAGUAGUGCUAGUGCUGGAUCGGAGUUGCUGAAUGCUUGCCGAUGCCUCGUUCGCUGUAAGAACAGAAUUAUGAACCUAUGGUGCCGCUUUUGCAAGCUGAGAUUUAGUAACGUCGCUUAUGAUCUGACUGUUGUUUGCUCUUCUGAACUGAACUGUGCCACGGGACUGAACAUUUGUAUUGUUAGUGUCAGGUUUCAGUUCUCUGAGACUUAUUGGAUUGGUUGCAACGCAUCAGGUUAUGAGUCUAUGAGUGACGCUGUGUUCAUGUCAAGGUAAUGAUGAACAACAUCAACUCCAUGAUUUUGCCUUGCUCGUGCUUUUGGGUUGUAACUCUAGAAGUUAGCAUUGCUUUUCAAUUAGUAUCAUCUAGCCAGCCUGUUUGCAGCACCUUGUUCACACUAUUAAAACGUCAAGUUUGACAAUUGCUGUAAUUUGCAGUAUCAGUAUCAUCUAGAAGUUGGUUCCUAUAAGCAAAUUUGGUUAUCUGGAGUACUCUUGCUGUUUAUCGAACAUAAGUUACAAUUCUGAAUUUUAUGGACUGUUAGUGAAUCUAUUCAAGCAAUGGUCUGCUGCCUGUAGUUGUUGACUUGGUGUGCCAGUAUCAUGGACUAGUAACUUUUUAUCUACCGACUGUUGUGCUUGUAGGGUUUGGACUUCAAAUGGAAUGUGAAUAUCCGCACUGAACUGAAGAAUUCAGAACUUUGUGACUUGAGACGACAGUAUUAUGUAUAGUUUUGCAUUUGGGAUACUGUUAGUGAGUAGCAGUAACGAACUAAUCUGUGCACCUCCAUCAUCACUUCAGAAGUACUGGCACGCAUGUUUAACCGUGGCAAUUGUUAUAGUCACAUCAAAAGAAAAUUGAGCAUGUUUUUUAAUGAUAAUCGUGCUAAAAUUUCAUAUCCGUGAUCACAAU